AUUGCAGCUUUAGAUCGAGGUCGGAAGCUGACACAAAAACUUAAAUUCUGCGAUGGGUCAUAUGCAAGUGAUUCAUGGUGUUCCAGUUCGUGAACACAUAAAAGGACAAUUUUCUAAUUAGUGUCAGCUUUGAGUUUAGGGUAAAUCCCAGACAUUUUAGUUGCCCUUACUUAUUUUUGGAGACAUUUCUCUCAGCCAAUAAUGAAGCAAU
Molecule: unclassified non-coding RNA, 211 nt
Organism: Ursus americanus (American black bear)
Lineage: Eukaryota; Metazoa; Chordata; Mammalia; Carnivora; Ursidae
Source: Ensembl